UUCACACUCCAAAAGAGAACCACUUGAAGAAAGCCAUAAUUAACCCUAAGGAAUGCCACCAUCACCACGGGAUACCAGGCACCGGGCAUGCAGGCGGAAAGCAUAUUUUAGGGCAGUGACUCAUGAUUUUUAAUGGAUUAACCAAGAGCUAGAAAUGCAAGAUGGCUGGAAAUAAGUACCAGAAGAUUCAGCUAGAAGUAAGGAGGACCAAGGACUGACUCUCUGGUAGACUCAUGGUCCGUGAAUGGUGGAAAUGUGCACCAGAGUAAGAAGAAGAGAGGAAGUCAAGCCCAUAGACUUUGCAGAGGGGCCGAGAGGCCUGAGAAGUAAGAGAAGACCAGGAGAUGGGGGCUCCUGAAAAGGUAGACAAGAGCGGGGUGCCCGCCGCUUUUGCAGACAGCAGCUGUGCAAAACUUCAUUGGAAGAACCGAGGCCUGCUGCUUGCUCCAUUUGGGAGUGGGGGUGGGGCAC
Hyaena hyaena (striped hyena) is the source of this 471-nucleotide long non-coding RNA. RefSeq lists it as uncharacterized. Lineage: Eukaryota; Metazoa; Chordata; Mammalia; Carnivora; Hyaenidae. The transcript is spliced from 3 exons. The record is from RefSeq and is a predicted model, not a curated record.